CGAGUUGUAAUUUGUAGAGGAUGCUUUUGGUGAGGUGCCGCCCGAGUUCCCUGGAACGGGACGCCACAGAGGGUGAGAGCCCCGUCUGGCUGGCCACCGAGCCUCUGUAAAGCUCCUUCGACGAGUCGAGUAGUUUGGGAAUGCUGCUCAAAAUGGGAGGUAUAUGUCUUCUAAAGCUAAAUAUUGGCCAGAGACCGAUAGCGCACAAGUAGAGUGAUCGAAAGAUGAAAAGCACCUUGAAAAGAGGGUUAAACAGUACGUGAAAUUGUUGAAAGGGAAGCGCUUGUGACCAGACUUGGGCGCGGCGGAUCAUCCGGGGUUCUCUCCGGUGCACUUCGCCGCGUUCAGGCCAGCAUCAGUUCGUCGCGGGGGAAAAAGGCUUCGGGAACGUGGCUCCUCCGGGAGUGUUAUAGCCCGUUGCAUAAUACCCUGCGGUGGACUGAGGACCGCGCAUCUGCAAGGAUGCUGGCGUAAUGG
This 477-nucleotide ribosomal RNA is filed under the name soil fungal sp. DM082. Its description in RNAcentral is "eukaryotic LSU rRNA". It matches the Rfam family "Eukaryotic large subunit ribosomal RNA", at positions 139 to 637 of the family's 3401-position model. Lineage: Eukaryota; Fungi. The record is from RNAcentral.